This is a long non-coding RNA of Sus scrofa (pig), 1100 nucleotides long. RefSeq lists it as uncharacterized. NCBI's taxonomy places the organism in Eukaryota, Metazoa, Chordata, Mammalia, Artiodactyla, Suidae. The record is from RefSeq and is a predicted model, not a curated record.
UCCAAAUAAGUCUAAGGUUAUUUCCACCAAAAGAGCCUUAAAAUACAAAGAAGAAGGAAAAUGUGGGGAUGUGAUUUGUGAGAGACCUAACCUCCAACUAUUUGCUUGAAAAUGAAGUGGGGGGAGAUCGCAUUGAAAACAAGAGAAGUGAAUAUUGCUAACAACCAGAGAUUUUGGAAAGAGGUACCAAGUCCCAGAGAAUUGCAACUUCAACUGACAUCUUCAUAUCAGUCUUUGAAACCCUGAUUAAUGAAACUAACCAUACUGGCUGGACUCUUGAACUCCAGAUGGUAUGGUUUCAAGCAGCUACUGGAAUGCCGGAGGACCAAGUUUCCAGAGUCCUCACAAGAAGUCUCGCAUGUGCCACAAAUCAAGGAAACCUCAAUCCUCUUGGAAACCUAACCCCCACCAAUCUCAGAGACACAGUGAAGUAGCGUCUCCUCCAGCAUGACACCCAGGUAGCUGGCAAAACGGCUCCUGCCCAGAGAUCACCUGAGAGGCGAGCCCGCCAUGAUCAGCCCAUGGAACAUCUGCGCAUGCGCGGACCGCAAAGCUCUAGCGUUCCAGAACCCCGCCCGGAACCCCGCCCGAAGCUCGCCCCGCAGGCGAGCCUCUGACGCCGGACUGCGACCUGUCCCGGGUCGGCCCACACCCAGAGCCUAGGAACCUGAGUCCAUUCUGAGAUGGGCGUCCAUCAGGCAUUGUAAUUUUCUAAAGAGGAAUCAAGUAUGAAGUUCUGAGGCUGUCAAACUUAUCAGAAGGGAAGAGUGGGCCUCCGCUGGGGAAAGACUGUGUAAUCUAGAACCUCUACAAUUUUUAUGCAACAUGACUUAAAAGAGCCAACCAAACAAACCUGAAGUUCCAAGGAUGAGGAAAUCAAGGUAAAAAUCAAGAGAAUCAUUAUUUGAUAUUUACAGACUCACUCAUAGAUGAUCUAGAUAAUGGACUUAACUGAUAAAAACUUUGAAAUAAUUAUGAUUAAAAUAUUCAGGUAAAGAAAUUUUUAAAAUGGAGAGUUGCUUGAGAAAAAAAUUAAAUCUUCUUGUUCGGAUUUUGGUAUCAAGGUUUGCAAUGACUGCUGUAUACACACACACACAAAC